Molecule: long non-coding RNA, 472 nt
Filed under: Mus spicilegus (steppe mouse)
Lineage: Eukaryota; Metazoa; Chordata; Mammalia; Rodentia; Muridae
Description: lncRNA (ENSMSIG00000023380.1)
Source: RNAcentral
CUGACAUUGACACCAGCACAGUGGAAUCUUCAUCACAGGCCAAGCUGCAGCGGCAGCAGGACUAAUCCAAGAAGAUAAGAAUAUCCUGAUCAAUUGGUGCUCUACAAAUAGGAAGAUAAUCAUACAGGAAACAAUGAAUGCCCAACAUCUGCCAUCUUGGCUCUCAUGUUGAAGGUAUCUGGAAAUGCAGAUUAACAGAACUCCUCAGGCUGCUGUGAAUGACAUCACAGAGCUGCGCUUCCGCCUCUGCUGCUGCUGACACUUCCGUGAUGUGCUGACAGGCCCCUCAGCAGCUCCAGACCAAUAGCCCUCCAGCUGCAAGGGCUGGCUGCCAUCUCCUACUCCCACUCUGGACUGGAGAAGGAACAGACAGCUCACCUGGAGCCACCUGAGCAGAGGAUGGAGUGGACAAUGAGGAAUAGAAACUAGGCAGCGAUACAACAGAAGUCUCAACAAAGCACUGACACACUGA